RNAcentral lists this ribosomal RNA (253 nucleotides) under uncultured bacterium. RNAcentral's name for it is "partial 16S ribosomal RNA". It matches the Rfam family "Bacterial small subunit ribosomal RNA", at positions 524 to 776 of the family's 1533-position model. The record is from RNAcentral.
CACGUAGGGUGCGAGCGUUGUCCGGAAUUACUGGGCGUAAAGGGCUCGUAGGCGGCCAACUAAGUCAGACGUGAAAUCCCUCGGCUUAACCGGGGAACUGCAUCUGAUACUGGAUGGCUUGAGUUCGGGAGAGGGAUGCGGAAUUCCAGGUGUAGCGGUGAAAUGCGUAGAUAUCUGGAGGAACACCGGUGGCGAAGGCGGCAUCCUGGACCGGUAUUGACGCUGAGGAGCGAAAGCGUGGGGAGCGAACAGG